CCAAGUGCGGUGUAUACCCUCUGAAGAUUUGGGCUGCUGCUUUUCAUGUCUGGUCUCUGGUCCUUUGCUUUGGAGAGAUGUAGCCUUCUUUAGAAUGCUUGUGUUCUCCCCACACCAUCAGCCAUUCCAGCUCCACACACUGCUUGCCAAAGAGGGACUGACUGCUGCCUGCUGGGGGAAAGAAAACAACUAAGCAGACAGAAAAAGGCACCCUAAAAGAGCCCUACUCUGCAACAGAGAGAAGACUGGAGCAUCUCUGCAACCUUUAGAACUGGCACAAGCUAAUGGCACCGGCAGUUUCUUGUGUUUUCUGCAUAGUAAAGUAUCUUACCUGUGGAGCCAGACCUCUUUAUCUUCUGACCAAGAGGAAUGUGGGGCUGGAGCUGGAAUUCAUUCUGCCCCUUCAAGCUGUUCUUCUCCCAGGCUUGUCACUGCACUGAAGCAUGGUGAGAGCUGCUGUUUCUGAAGGUCGAUAUGCUCUGCUCUGAAUGACCCAAACAGGAUUGACUUUUCACUAAAAAAUAAAUCACAGAUCUGGUAUGUGGCCAUAUGAACCUUGUUGCAGACUGGAUCCAAGAUCUUUGGGUCUCCUAGCAGCAACUCUUCUGCUUCUGUCCUUGAAGGAUUUUCAACUCUGCAGCUACACAACUAUCAAGGCCAGUGUUUUUUCAGUGUGGUUUGUGAAUGAGAAAAAUUGCAUGAUAAAGAACUAAACUAAAAUUCAACCUCCAUAUAAAUGUAUUCCUCCCUCACAUAUUCUUGAAUAAAUGUCUAUAAUUCUGCUUUUGCAUCUUUGGUAGACGUUUUCUCAUUGAAUUCAACCCACUAAUCCUGCAGAAAAACUCUCCAGGUUCGAAGGUUUCUCUUUCUUGUUAGUUUGCAAUGAUUUUUCUUUUUCUUCAGCUAAUGAGUUGACCACUCACACAGUAGUCCAAUAAGAGCUAAGCUUCCUGAAAGUGAGAAAUGGGGGAGAGAGGCAGAACAAACCAGGAGCUCGAGUAAUCCCUAAGAAAUAGUAUACACACCACCUGUUUGUACCCUACUUCUAGAGCCAUUCAUUGA
This is a long non-coding RNA of Passer domesticus (house sparrow), 1062 nucleotides long. RefSeq lists it as uncharacterized. The record is from RefSeq and is a predicted model, not a curated record. NCBI's taxonomy places the organism in Eukaryota, Metazoa, Chordata, Aves, Passeriformes, Passeridae. The transcript is spliced from 7 exons.